AGCCUCACGAAACCAUAUGAGGUACCGCCUGCCCAGUGACCAACAGGUUAAACGGCCGCGGAAUACGUGCUAAGGUAGCGCAAUCACUUGUCCUUUUAUUGGGGACCUGUAUGAAUGGCAUAACGAAGCUCAACUGUCUCUUCUUAUUUAAUUGAACUUGAUGUUCAAGUGAAAAAGCUUGAAUAAAACUGGAGGACAAGAAGACCCUAUAGAGUUUCAGUGCAAAAUACUCAUAACACACAAAAAAACAAGAAAAAACCAGUAUUUAACACUUUGAUUGGGGCAAUCUAGGAACAUAAAAACUCCUAACAAAUAAAUUUACUAAUAGUAAAAAAUAAAUCCUCAAAGAGAAUAAAGAAAAACUACCUUAGGGAUAACAGCGUAAUCCUUCUCAAGAGACCUAAUCGAAAGAAGGGAUUGCGACCUCGAUGUUGGAUUAAGGCAUCCUAAAAGUGCAGCAGCUUUUAAUGGUGGGCCUGUUCGGCCCUAAAAGCCUUA
Molecule: ribosomal RNA, 498 nt
Filed under: Hislopia sp. LB-noda-MH
Lineage: Eukaryota; Metazoa; Bryozoa; Gymnolaemata; Ctenostomatida; Hislopiidae
Description: partial 16S ribosomal RNA
Rfam family: Bacterial large subunit ribosomal RNA
Source: RNAcentral